RNAcentral lists this ribosomal RNA (253 nucleotides) under uncultured bacterium. RNAcentral's name for it is "partial 16S ribosomal RNA". It matches the Rfam family "Bacterial small subunit ribosomal RNA", at positions 524 to 776 of the family's 1533-position model. The record is from RNAcentral.
UACAGAGGUCUCAAGCGUUGUUCGGAUUCAUUGGGCGUAAAGGGUGCGUAGGCGGCUCCGUAAGUCGGAUGUGAAAUCUCGGGGCUCAACCCUGAAACUGCAUUCGAUACUGCGGUGCUAGAGGACUGGAGAGGAAACUGGAAUUCACGGUGUAGCAGUGAAAUGCGUAGAUAUCGUGAGGAAGACCUGUGGCGAAGGCGGGUUUCUGGACAGAUCCUGACGCUGAGGCACGAAGGCCAGGGGAGCAAACGGG